AACGAACGCUGGCGGCGUGCUUCAUACAUGCAAGUCGUGCGAGACUCCUGGAGCAAUCCGGGAGAAAAGCGGCAGACGGGUGAGUAACACGUGGGUAAUCUACCUGAAAGUUUGGGAUAAGCCUCCGAAAGGGGGUCUAAUACCGGAUGAAGUUUCUUUAAGGCAUCUUUUAGAAACCAAAGCUAGUCUCUGUUUACAAGCUAGCGCUUACAGACGUACCCGCGCUCCAUUAGUUAGUUGGCGGGAUAACAGCCCACCAAGACUGCGAUGGAUAACCGACCUGAGAGGGUGUACGGUCACACUGGGACUGAGACACGGCCCAGACUCCUACGGGAGGCAGCAGUAGGGAAUAUUGCGCAAUGGCCUAACGGCUGACGCAGCAACGCCGCGUGGAGGAUGAAGUC
Molecule: ribosomal RNA, 404 nt
Filed under: uncultured bacterium
Lineage: Bacteria
Description: bacterial SSU rRNA
Rfam family: Bacterial small subunit ribosomal RNA
Source: RNAcentral